RNAcentral lists this ribosomal RNA (514 nucleotides) under uncultured bacterium. Its description in RNAcentral is "bacterial SSU rRNA". It matches the Rfam family "Bacterial small subunit ribosomal RNA", at positions 15 to 518 of the family's 1533-position model. The record is from RNAcentral.
GAUCCUGGCUCAGAUUGAACGCUGGCGGCAGGCCUAACACAUGCAAGUCGAACGGUAACAGGAAGAAGCUUGCUUCUUGCUGACGAGUGGCGGACGGGUGAGUAAUGUCUGGGAAACUGCCUGAUGGAGGGGGAUAACUACUGGAAACGGUAGCUAAUACCGCAUAACGUCGCAAGACCAAAGAGGGGGACCUUCGGGCCUCUUGCCAUCGGAUGUGCCCAGAUGGGAUUAGCUAGUAGGUGGGGUAACGGCUCACCUAGGCGACGAUCCCUAGCUGGUCUGAGAGGAUGACCAGCCACACUGGAACUGAGACACGGUCCAGACUCCUACGGGAGGCAGCAGUGGGGAAUAUUGCACAAUGGGCGCAAGCCUGAUGCAGCCAUGCCGCCGUGUAUGAAGAAGGCCUUCGGGUUGUAAAGUACUUUCAGCGGGGAGGAAGGGAGUAAAGUUAAUACCUUUGCUCAUUGACGUUACCCGCAGAAGAAGCACCGGCUAACUCCGUGCCAGCCGCCGC